This 424-nucleotide ribosomal RNA is filed under the name uncultured bacterium. RNAcentral describes it as "bacterial SSU rRNA". It matches the Rfam family "Bacterial small subunit ribosomal RNA", at positions 354 to 796 of the family's 1533-position model. The record is from RNAcentral.
GUGGGGAAUAUUGCACAAUGGGGGAAACCCUGAUGCAGCGACGCCGCGUGAGCGAAGAAGGUUUUCGAAUCGUAAAGCUCUGUCCUAUGGGAAGAUAAUGACGGUACCAUAGGAGGAAGCCCCGGCUAACUACGUGCCAGCAGCCGCGGUAAUACGUAGGGGGCAAGCGUUGUCCGGAAUCACUGGGCGUAAAGGGUUCGCAGGCGGAAAUGCAAGUCAGUUGUGAAAGGCAGAGGCUCAACCUCUGUAAGCAAUUGAAACUGUAUUUCUUGAGAUGUGGAGAGGCAAGUGGAAUUCCUAGUGUAGCGGUGAAAUGCGUAGAUAUUAGGAAGAAUACCGGUGGCGAAGGCGACUUGCUGGACACAAACUGACGCUGAGGAACGAAAGCGUGGGUAGCAAACAGGAUUAGAUACCCCUGUAGUCC